UACAGAGGUCCCAAGCGUUGUUCGGAUUUAUUGGGUGUAAAGGGUGCGUAGGCGGCGGAGUAAGUUGGGUGUGAAAUCCCGGGGCUCAACCUCGGAAUUGCAUUCAAUACUGCUUCGCUCGAGUACUGGAGAGGAGACUGGAAUUUACGGUGUAGCAGUGAAAUGCGUAGAUAUCGUAAGGAAGGCCGGUGGCGAAAGCGAGUCUCUGGACAGUUACUGACGCUGAUGCACGAAGGCCAGGGGAGCAAACGGG
Molecule: ribosomal RNA, 253 nt
Filed under: uncultured bacterium
Lineage: Bacteria
Description: partial 16S ribosomal RNA
Rfam family: Bacterial small subunit ribosomal RNA
Source: RNAcentral